This is a non-coding RNA of Phalacrocorax carbo (great cormorant), 4438 nucleotides long. NCBI's taxonomy places the organism in Eukaryota, Metazoa, Chordata, Aves, Suliformes, Phalacrocoracidae. The record is from RefSeq and is a predicted model, not a curated record.
AAUACUUAAAAUCUUAUAAAUACUUUAUUCAAAUGUACAAGUCAUUUUACUAGUUUGUUAGUGUUAAGUUAAGCUCCAUAUCUGUAUUGUGUUUGCAGGUCUAUUGCAAAGCCUCUCUGUUAACACUAAUCCCAUCGGGAUCCCUCCUUAACAGAGGGGACUGCUGACAGCUCAGAACAAAGUUAAGCAAAUUGCCCAAAACAGGGUUAUCUAGUGAAGGGAGCAGGAAAGCCAAAUGCAGAGGGAGGUUUUACAUCUGUAAACAAAAGGCUCCCCCAGCCCCGAGGGUUUGAAACUGGGAAGGUCCCCUCUGACACAAGCAGCCGUAAUUCCAGCCGGUGCUUCCUCGCAGGCUGUAACAAUGGGAACAUUGAGGCUCAACAACCCAUCGGGAGGUUUCAAGCACCAUUUGCUACUCUUGUUUACAGUCUUGUUUAUUUUAAAAUCAGAUCUCCUCGCCAAACAGGGUGACAAAAAGAGUCAGAUUAACAAACAGGGUUAGGAUUCUGGUAGGGGUGUGUAGCAGCUUGCCAAACAAAAAGAUGAUGUUGAACAUUCAAACUGGAGAACGUCCAAUGAGGUAAGCCCAUGUCUGUUUACCUUCACAAGCACUGCAUUAAUAGGUAUGUACUUGAAACUUUCCAGCCACUAAGGCGAGAUCACGGCUGAGAAGAGUCAGAGCUACAGGACAGAGACAGCUGCAGAUCACGGAGCUGAUGAGGGGAUUUAGGAGAGGCUCUCCUUUCCCAUCAUGCAAGUGAACACUCACGUAAGGAUGCGACACACACAGAGCUUUGUCUCAUUCACACGAGUGCUGCUGCCUCUUUUCAUGCAUGCCUUGGUCUGCACUAUAAAAACCGGUGAGUUUGACAGGAGUUGGUCAUUUUGGCCCAGGUCCAACAAUAUCCCAACAAUGAGGACAAAGCAAGAAGAAUUCAAGGACUUGGUCAGCAGCUGGUAGAAACCGUUGCAAUACCACUGGCUUCCACUGAGUUACCCCAAAUUAUAAAUACUGAGUCUUGAGAGAGUUUUAAACGCUGGGGAUUAUGGCCUAAUGCCAUUUUAUUGAUACGUCUGCCUCUGUUUUGUUUUUAAUCCAGUAACAGAUGUGCAUCUGGUCGCAGUUGUGGUGUGGGACCAAAAUUUAUUCUGAAGUGAGCAGCCACCAGCUUUAAAAGCAACUCUUCUUAUCACCCCUGAACCAGGCAAGCCUGUAACCCUGUCUCUGAACCCCUCGUGACCUGCAACCUCCCUCCUAACAGAUCUAGCUGUUGGUCACAGCCACCAGUGCAGUGGAAGCAGCUGCUGCCCCUUUCUGUGCUAGCCUGGAGAUCAGAGCUGCCACCCAGGAUGUGGGAGACCCUGAUGAAACCCUCUUUUCUACCCAAAGAGAAGCAAGGGUUCACAUCCCCCUGAAGGAGCCACCCAAGCAGUCAGGGGCUGCAGGCAGGGCUGCAGGCAGGGCUGUGGGGCAGUGCUGGGGGGAGCGGGCUACGUGUCGAGUGGUGUGGAUGAGGGAGGGAGCAGGCCUGUCGCUGAGCCUGUGCCAGAUGAUCAGUCUUCCUCCUGUCCCUGGAGCACACCAGGAGGAUAGAUGUGUGCCACUGGCACCGAGCAGCACAGCAAGCAAGGGGAUGGAGCAGCAACCUGGGAGCAGAGAGUAGCUGAAGGGACAGAGUGGCAGGUGCCAUGGGGACAUAGUGGGGCGGCAGCAGCGGCAGCACAGCCUUGCUCAGCUGGGAGCCACUCUGCCUCCCAGCCAGGGGUCCAGUAACAUGAGGGCAGGCUCUGAACUGAAACGCCUUGUGGCUUGGCGCUCCCUGGCUUUUCCAGGCUCCCUGUGAAAUUGAUGGCAUUGCUGGGGCCGGGCUCUGCUUUCUCCUAAUGCCUGGGAAAAGGAAACAGUGCUGGUGCUUUGCAGCUACUGCUGUGCUCACAUUUCCAAACUCCUGGCCUGUGUGCGGCUACAUGCACAACCUGCUCCAGGCACAGCAUCUGCUCAAGUCUUUGCUCCUGUGGCAGUUCAAACUCAAUAGCACCUUCUCCUCUGGGUCCCAAAGUGGCUCAAUAUGAAGAGAGCAACAUGCUUGUGUUCACCUCGAUGAGCAAUAAUUAUAAUUGCAUGCUUCAUCUCAAAUAAUUUCUGUUUCCUACCCAAAAGCACCACAGAACUGCUGGAGAGAGGUGUUGGCCUAAAAAUCACAUGCAGUGUGACCUGUACCUUGUUUUCACAUACUCUUCCUGCUUCAUCCUUUCUCCUGUGCACCUCUCCCCGGCUGCCAGCCCCUGUGGAGUGGGGCAGAGUGCGACAGGCAGCGCAGCACUGGGUGGGACGGAUGGAUGUCGACACAGAGCCUGGCUGCGGUGCUGCCGGGGAUGGGCAUCCUCAAGGGGCCAAACCACUGCAAAUGGCAACACGUGAAGAAAUACACACUGCUUUUAGCUACCAGCCUAGGCAAAAAGGAAACCUUGUACCUACUGUUGUAUGUAAAAUAUCUCCAAGGCAACAGUGCACAGCAGAAGAAGCUGCAUUAUAUUCAGCAAUAUCGGUUGAAUAGACUCUCGAUGAUGUGGGUAACCGGCAGGAUGCUCCCUGGUGGGUCAGCCUACGUGUAGCCUGCUGAGUAUUUUCAGCACUGCAAUGCUAUGAGUGCAUUUGUGUUUAUUUUAUACAUCUCUGCCUUUCUCAAAUUUAGGUUGGGCGUGGAAUUAUUUCUAGAUUCAGUUAUAUUUAAAAAUGAAACCCAGACCCCACAAAAACAGCUGCUGCUUUUCACUCAGAGCUGGAAUUUGGUGAGUCAAAAAUGAAGGUCCGGUUUUAAACAAUAUUCAACGCUCUUUGAACUAAAGAGCUUAGUCUGUUUCGUUUAACAGAAAGAUAAUUACAGUAAUUCGAUUACAGCUUAUGAACACCUAUAAGGAGAACAAUUGUGCUAGUUUUAGGCCUCUCUAGCCUAGCAGACAGUCGUGUUUUAAGAUCCAGUGACUGCAGGUUGCAGCUCUGUAAUGGCAGAGUGGGGCAAAUGUGAGGAGCCAGGAUAACUACACUUUGGAACAGUUUCCUGGAAACUGGAAGGAGCCUCCUACCCCAGUGGGUUUUUUAAAAACAGAUCGUUUUUUCCUACAUGGGAUGCUGCAGGCAGGCAGGAAUGCGGCUGGGGGAGUGCUGCAGUUUAUAGUAUGGAGAAGGUCAUGUUGGAAAAUUACAGUGAUUUCUUAUGGCUUCGGAUUCUUUGAAUGCAGACUGUAAGUCUACAGCAAGUAGAGCCUGUGAAAUGCAAACCAUUUAACAACUUACAUUCUGCACAGAGGCAGGUGGCUUGGAUCAACAUUGCUCCGUCUUGUGCAAGAAGUAAUGAAUCACGUCCUUGGUCAGGAAGGUGUUUUACCAGCACCGCAGAGAAAACGAGCAUUUGAAUCUGCAACAAACCCCGGGCGUACUGAGCAAUCGGUCAAAAAGACUUCUCACACUGAAAUCCGAGGAGGUGAAAAGGCUCCACAGAAGCCCCCCCGCCCCCAGACCCGCAGGGGUGGUGCUGCAGCAGUUUUCCGGCAGCCCACGCGGUCGCGGCCGAGGCAGCGGCCCCUCCGCUCGCCCCCGGUGCUUGCUGAGCCUGGGGGAGCUUCGGGGCCAGGAGAAGGGGGACGGCGGGCCACGGAGACACUCUCCGCAAGGACCCAUUCCCUCUGCACCGCGCCAGCCGCGGCGCCCCGCCGCGCGAGGGGCCCCCACGCGUGCCCCGCCCCCCGGCCCCUCGCCGCUUGCUUCCCCCGCGGUUUCUCGCCAUUCAUUCUGGCCGGGAGGGAAAACCGGGCUCCGCUGGCGCCAUCUGGUGCUAUCCGCGGGUCCUGACACCCUCCGAGGGCCGCCCCGGGCCCGGCCGGGGCGGCCCCGGGGGCUCCGGGCGGCGCUGCCCGCCUUCUGGGGCGGUGGGAGCCAGGGCUGAGUGUGCCUCCUCUGGGAGCAAGCGGCCGAUCGGGGGCGGGGGACGGGUGCCAGGCAGAGGGUGCAGGGUGCCGGGGGAGCAGCGGGUUGCUGGGCCACUGCAAGCCGGCCGGCCGGCGGCCCGGUGCGGGCAACGCAGCAGCGACGCCCGCAGAAGCGCUUCUGACACCUCAAAGCGUUGCAGAUGGCAGAACAUCCCACCCUUAUUUAUACCUUUAGCUAUAGAUUGCCCUGACUACCUGCUUAGACCGAAGAAGAAAGAGCAAAGGCGACAAUCCCUCAUCAGGAGGAGAUUUUUGGCAAAGUGAGUGCCAGGUCUGAACACGCGUUACCCGGCGGAGCUGUCCCACAGGGGCUGGGAGCGGCCGGGCCUGUCCACAGGCAGCUGAGAAACUUCGGAAGCCUGGGUAUUUUUUUCUUAAUACUAUCAAGCCAAUGCCAUUUAACUCUUUCAUGUGCAAAAUUUCCUAAUAAAUGUCAGAAUGCUGGCAA